GAAAUGCGAUAAGUAGUGUGAAUUGCAGAAUUCAGUGAAUCAUCGAAUCUUUGAACGCACAUUGCGCCCCUUGGUAUUCCAUGGGGCAUGCCUGUUCGAGCGUCAUUUGUACCUUCAAGCUUUGCUUGGUGUUGGGUGUUUGUCUCGCCUCUGCGCGCAGACUCGCCUCAAAACAAUUGGCAGCCGGCGUUUUGAUUUCGGAGCGCAGUACAUCUCGCGCUUUGCACUCAUAACGACGACGUCCAAAAAGUACAUUUUUUACACUCUUGACCUCGGAUCAGGUAGGGAUACCCGCUGAACUUAAGC
This 306-nucleotide unclassified non-coding RNA is filed under the name plant metagenome. RNAcentral's name for it is "partial contains 5.8S ribosomal RNA, internal transcribed spacer 2, and large subunit ribosomal RNA". The stretch from base 1 to 105 matches the Rfam family "5.8S ribosomal RNA", at positions 50 to 154 of the family's 154-position model. The record is from RNAcentral.